GGGUCAGUAGGUUGGUCGUGCCACCGGUACGUACUGGUCUCACUGAUUCCUCCUUCCUGAAGAACCGUAAUGCCAUUAAUUUGGUGUUGCGGGGAAACAGGACUGCUACUUUGAAAAAAUUAGAGUGUUUAAAGCAAGAUAACGCUUGAAUACAUUAGCAUGGAAUAAUGAAAUAGGACGAUCGAUCCUAUUUUGUUGGUUUCUAGGAUUGACGUA
This 216-nucleotide ribosomal RNA is filed under the name Glomeromycotina sp. Its description in RNAcentral is "partial small subunit ribosomal RNA". The stretch from base 40 to 216 matches the Rfam family "Eukaryotic small subunit ribosomal RNA", at positions 686 to 864 of the family's 1831-position model. The record is from RNAcentral. Lineage: Eukaryota; Fungi; Glomeromycota.